Molecule: ribosomal RNA, 481 nt
Filed under: uncultured bacterium
Lineage: Bacteria
Description: partial 16S ribosomal RNA
Rfam family: Bacterial small subunit ribosomal RNA
Source: RNAcentral
GACGAACGCUGGCGGCGUGCUUAACACAUGCAAGUCGAGCGGAAAGGCCACUUCGGUGGUACUCGAGCGGCGAACGGGUGAGUAACACGUGAGUAAUCUGCCCCUGGCUUUGGGAUAGCCACCGGAAACGGUGAUUAAUACCGGAUACGACCACUUCUCGCAUGGGAUGGUGGUGGAAAGUUUUUUCGGCCAGGGAUGUGCUCGCGGCCUAUCAGCUUGAUGGUGAGGUAAUGGCUCACCAUGGCUUCGACGGGUAGCCGGCCUGAGAGGGUAACCGGUCACACUGGGACGGAGACACGGCCCAGACUCCUACGGGAGGCAGCAGUGGGGAAUAUUGGACAAUGGGCGGAAGCCUGAUCCAGCAACGCCGCGUGAGGGAUGACGGCCUUCGGGUUGUAAACCUCUUUCAGCAGGGACGAAGCGCAAGUGACGGUACCUGCAGAAGAAGCACCGGCCAACUACGUGCCAGCAGCCGCAGUAA